AUAAAUAGUAUACAGUGAAACUGCGAAUGGCUCAUUAAAACAGUUAUAGUUUAUUUGAUAAUUGAAUUAUACAUGGAUAACCGUGGUAAUUCUAGAGCUAAUACAUGCAGUAAAACCUGACUUUUUGGAAAGGUUGUAUUUAUUAGAUAUCAAACCAAUAUUCCUUCGGGUCUAUUGUGAUGAUUCAUAAUAACUGAUCGAAGCUUAGCUCGGCUAAGCUAAAUCAUUCAAGUUUCUGCCCUAUCAGCUUUCGAUGGUAGUGUAUUGGACUACCAUGGCAGUCACGGGUAACGGGGAAUUAGGGUUCGAUUCCGGAGAGGGAGCCUGAGAAACGGCUACCACAUCUAAGGAAGGCAGCAGGCGCGUAAAUUACCCAAUCCUGACUCAGGGAGGUAGUGACAAGAAAUAACAACUCGGGGCCUCACGGCUUACGAGAUUGCAAUGAGAACAAUUUAAACCACUUAUCUAGGAACAAUUGGAGGGCAAGUCUGGUGCCAGCAGCCGCGGUAAUUCCAGCUCCAAUAGCGUAUAUUAAUGUUGUUGCAGUUAAAAAGCUCGUAGUUGAAUUUCUGGUUAAUAUAUUAGCUGGCUUUGGUCGUUAAUGUCUUAAUCAUCCGUUAGAGAACUAUAACCGUCCUUAACUGGUCAUUAUAGAGAUCUAACAUUUUACUUUGAAAAAAUUAGAGUGUUCAAGGCAGGCAAUCGUCAUGAAUACUAUAGCAUGGAAUAAUGGAAUAGGACUUUGGUUCAUUUUAUUGGUUAUUGAACCUUAGUAAUGAUUAACAGGGACAGUUGGGGGCAUUAGUAUUUAAUUGUCAG
This 819-nucleotide ribosomal RNA is filed under the name uncultured eukaryote. RNAcentral describes it as "SSU rRNA". It matches the Rfam family "Eukaryotic small subunit ribosomal RNA", at positions 65 to 908 of the family's 1831-position model. The record is from RNAcentral.